ACACUAACUGGAGGACCGAACCGACUAAUGUUGAAAAAUUAGCGGAUGACCUGUGGCUGGGGGUGAAAGGCCAAUCAAACCGGGAGAUAGCUGGUUCUCCCCGAAAGCUAUUUAGGUAGCGCCUCGUGAAUUCAUCUCCGGGGGUAGAGCACUGUUUCGGCUAGGGGGCCAUCCCGGCUUACCAACCCGAUGCAAACUGCGAAUACCGGAGAAUGUUAUCACGGGAGACACACGGCGGGUGCUAACGUCCGUCGUGAAGAGGGAAACAACCCAGACCGCCAGCUAAGGUCCCAAAGUCAUGGUUAAGUGGGAAACGAUGUGGGAAGGCCCAGACAGCCAGGAUGUUGGCUUAGAAGCAGCCAUCAUUUAAAGAAAGCGUAAUAGCUCACUGGUCGAGUCGGCCUGCGCGGAAGAUGUAACGGGGCUAAACCAUGCACCGAAGCUGCGGCAGCGACACUGUGUGUUGUUGGGUAGGGGAGCGUUCUGUAAGCCUGUGAAGGUGUGUCGUGAGGC
RNAcentral lists this ribosomal RNA (513 nucleotides) under Salmonella enterica. Its description in RNAcentral is "partial 23S ribosomal RNA". It matches the Rfam family "Bacterial large subunit ribosomal RNA", at positions 759 to 1269 of the family's 2925-position model. RNAcentral also lists the same sequence under 2 other names. The record is from RNAcentral. Lineage: Bacteria; Pseudomonadati; Pseudomonadota; Gammaproteobacteria; Enterobacterales; Enterobacteriaceae.